This 652-nucleotide long non-coding RNA is filed under the name Ricinus communis (castor bean). Its description in RNAcentral is "long non-coding RNA (RCOM_LNC002346)". The record is from RNAcentral. Lineage: Eukaryota; Viridiplantae; Streptophyta; Magnoliopsida; Malpighiales; Euphorbiaceae.
AAAAGAGCAAUGCACAGCUAAGGCUAUCUACAACUGCACUAACCUGAAAAAAAAAUUGCUAAGGAAUGAGCUAGCGACUCAAUAAGCAUUUAAUUUACUAAACUAUAGUAUAUUAGGCUAGAAUUAUCAAAUCUUUAUCAAUACAGAAAAUUAUACCAACACUUAACUAACAAUCACAAAAUCAACCAUUUCAGUUAUUCUCAUAAACAUAUAAUUUCAUCUCACGUAAUGCAAAUAAUCUCAAACUCAACCAAGUCAAAUAAUUCAAUUCCACAUUAUUUCUAUGAAAUUAGGAUCAGAUGACUCAUCCUUACAUUUCCUCACAUUUUUAAAUUUCAGUAACCACUUGACAAGACUAUCCGCCUGGCUCAGUCUUGCCAUCUCACAUACUCGGGUAGCUAUCCGCCCGGCUCAGCUUUCCCGAUCACACAAUAUCCAUACAAAAGUCAUCAAUCCUUAAUCACAAUCAUUUCACUUCACAACACAUCACAAUCAAUUCACUUCACAACACAUCACAAUCAAUUCACUUUAUAACAAGCCAAAAACAUAACUAAUAUCAACUCAGUCAACCAAGAAAUUAUCAAGUAAUCAAACAGCAGUCCCUACUCAAUAUACACAAAGUUUAGUCUAUUAAAUACUUACCAAAAGUUAU